RNAcentral lists this ribosomal RNA (363 nucleotides) under uncultured eukaryote. Its description in RNAcentral is "partial 18S ribosomal RNA". It matches the Rfam family "Eukaryotic small subunit ribosomal RNA", at positions 592 to 976 of the family's 1831-position model. The record is from RNAcentral.
CAAUAGCGUAUACUAAUGUUGUUGCAGUUAAAAAGCUCGUAGUUGAACUUCUGGUAGGAGUGUCCCGGCCUUUUUGUUUUUACAACUUGUAUGCUGUGUGACAUCUCUGGCCAUCCUUCUUCUUUGUUUAAAGAAGAUCUUUCACUGUAAAAAAAUUAGGGUGUUCAAAGCAAAAGUUUCUUUGGAAUAUAUUAGUAUGGGAUGAUAAGAUAGGCUCUAGAUGCUAUUUUGUUGGUUUGCACAUUUAGAGAAUGAUUAACAGGGACAGUUGGGGGUAUUCGUAUUUACAUGUCAGAGGUGAAAUUCUUGGAUUUUGGAAAGACGAACUACUGCGAAAGCAUUUACCAAGGAUGUUUUCAUUAA